This is a long non-coding RNA of Carya illinoinensis, 1733 nucleotides long. RefSeq lists it as uncharacterized. The transcript has 2 exons. The record is from RefSeq and is a predicted model, not a curated record. Lineage: Eukaryota; Viridiplantae; Streptophyta; Magnoliopsida; Fagales; Juglandaceae.
UAACUAUCCAACCUGGCUUGACUUGGGUUUACCUGAUUAGCAGCUCAACCGUGUAUGUGUUGAGGGAGGUAGGUAGCAGCUACCUUCUCCGUCCCUUCCUUCACAGGUCAAUUAAAAGCAUUGCUAGCUCUUCAUCACCUCGACAUACGAUCAAGACAGAUCAAAUGAGUUCUUCCGACCCGCAGGGGCCAACUCCUUUCGCCGGAGACGUCGGCGCAAUCAAGUUAUGUUUGAUGGAGACACAUCCAGGUCCAGGGGAAUCACCUCAACAACCUAAAACUGCGGAUUCUCCAGACCGCAGCCAAGAAAGUACUGGCUGCGUGGAGGACUGGUUGGAUAUUUUCUGUUGCUGCUGCCUCUUCAAAGCCUGCUUCUGAUUGAUGAUCAGAACCAUAUUAUUGUGUAUGAAUUGAAGGGCGCUGAUCGAAUAUAUAUUUGCCACGAAGAGAUUUCAGAAUUUCCUAUCUCUUUCAAUUGUCUGCGUUUUCGUUCUAAAUAUAUAAUAUAUAUGGACUAAUUUGUUUAUGUUCGUUUAAUGGGAAGCUGCUUCGAUGUCGACUGUACGUGAUCAUGAGUUUCAUUUGAAUUCAGUUAACAAGGAAGGGGAGGAAGGAGAAAGGGUUAGUGGCCUUAUUAACAUUCAAACCAAGGAGUGGAAGAAAGAGAGAGUCAAUCAGAUGUUUAAAGAGGAUGAAGCUGAAGUCAUUUGCUGCUUGCCAAUUAGCAAACUGGGAGCUGAAGACAGGUUGAUACGGGGAUAUACAAAGGAUGGAAUUUUCACUGUGAGAAGCGCAUAUUAUGUGGAUUUGCUUAGAAAGAGGAGAGCUCAGGGAGAAACCUCGACAAAAUUGGUACAUGAUGAGAGCUGGAAACACAUUUGGGGAAUGAAAGUGGCAGGGGUGGUAAAAAUGUUUCUAUGGAAGGCAGGAAAUAACAUCUUGCCUACUAAGGAUAACCGCCUAAAAAAAGGAAUAUUAAAUAACCCCUGCUGCCCCAUAUGCUUGUCCAAGGAGGAAUCAGUUACUCAUUUGCUCUGGAAUUGCCCUACUUCAAAUGAUGUGUGGUCUGUGGACCAAAGCCCCGUGCAAAAAUGGAAUUCAGAAGAACUAGAUUUUAUGAAACUUUGGUAAAAGUUUCAGAGUAGUUUGGGCCAAGCAGACCUCGAAUGGGUUGCAAUAACUAUGCGUAGCCUUUGGUUGCGAAGGAAUAAAUACAUAUAUGAAGAGGCUUUCCAAAGUCCGGGCAAGGUUGCUGAACUGGCUAGGAUCAGUAUAGAAGAAUUUCAUGCAGCAAAUGAUUUGGGAAGAACUCAAAGCAGCCCAGAAACUGGUGGGAGGAGGCCGAAGAAAUGAAGGAAACCACCUGAUGACUACGUGAAGAUUAAUUGGGAUGCAGCUUUAAACAAGCAUACAAGGACUACGGGGAUUGGCAUCAUUCUGAGAGAUGGUAGAGGUGAAGUUCUACUCUCUGCUUGUGAGAAGAAAGAGAUGGUGGUACUGGAACCAGUUCUGGCCGAGUGCUAUUCUCUUUGGAAGGCAAUAGAGGUUUGUAAUGCCUUAAACAUCAGAAAGGUUGUAAUAGAAGGGGAUGCUCUUACAGUUGUUAAUGCGGUAAAUAAUAUAUAUGGACUAAUUUGUUUAUGUUCGUUUAAUUAUAGGAAGCUGCUUCGAUGUCGCCUGUACGUACGUGACCAUGAGUUUCAUUUGAAUUCAAUAUGUCUCCUUUUUCUGCUC